This 544-nucleotide long non-coding RNA is filed under the name Homo sapiens (human). RNAcentral's name for it is "miRlet-7a-1/let-7f-1/let-7d cluster host gene, transcript variant 2 (MIRLET7A1HG)". The record is from RNAcentral. Lineage: Eukaryota; Metazoa; Chordata; Mammalia; Primates; Hominidae.
AGGCCGCCGCGGCGGCGCCCGCCCGCGCCUCCAUCCGGGUCCUGGCGCGGUGCUCUCCCGGCAGCGACGGGCGCGAGGGCCGGGGCAUUCCCACGGCCGCGACGGCCCUCUCCGCGAGCGCGAGGAUGUACAUGAAGCAUGGCACCAACAGCUGCUCCUGUGAGGCCUCAAGAAGCUUACAAUCGUGGCAGAAGCUGAAGGGGGAGCCAGCGUGUGGCAUGGCAAGGGAAGGAGCAAGAGAGAGAGGGAGGAGCUGCCAGGCUCUUGAACAACCAGAUCUCACGUGAACUCACAGAUUGAAAUUCACUCAUUACUGUGAGGACACACCAAGCCAUUUAUGAGGGAUGCACCCCUAUGACCCAAACACCUCCUACUAGGCCCACCUCCAACAUCAGAGGUCACAUGAAACGAGAUGUAUAGGGGACAAAACAGUCAAACCAUAUCAGUCCCACCAGCAAGAAGGCUCUCACUGGAUGUGGUCCCUUGAUCUUGGACUUCUCAGCCUCUGUAACUGUAAAAAAUAAAUUUUGUUUCUUAUAAAUUA